Patella vulgata (common limpet) is the source of this 1398-nucleotide long non-coding RNA. RefSeq lists it as uncharacterized. The record is from RefSeq and is a predicted model, not a curated record. The transcript has 3 exons. NCBI's taxonomy places the organism in Eukaryota, Metazoa, Mollusca, Gastropoda, Patellidae.
UAAAUGUACGGAGUGUUCUAAAUCCUUCCCUACUCCUGGAGAUUUAAAAAGUCACAUGUAUGUUCAUAAUGGAUCCUGGCCUUUCAAAUGUCAGAUUUGUAAUCGAGGUUUCAGUAAACAAACCAGCUUGAAAAAUCAUCUCGUUCUUCAUUCAGGUGACAGACCACAUCAAUGUUUGACCUGUAAUAAGAGAUUCUCUCUGGCAUGUAAUCUCAAAACUCACAUGAAAAUACACGAUGAAGAUUCCUCUCCAGUCUGUACCAGAUGUAACAAGAUGGCCGCUACCUCUGAUGGAUUAUGUUUGAAAUGUCGUGGUGACGUCAGAAUAUCGCCAGAUGAGGGUCACACAGGUUCAUACAGCAAAACGUCACAAUCUUCGUCAAGUUUUAUGUCAUCACAAUUGUCAUCCGAUGUAACGUCACAGACUCAGUCAGGUUUUACGUCAUCUCGAUCACCCUCAGAUUUCAGUAUCAGUAAAAUAACAGAGAGAAGUUUUAAAAGACAGAGAUUGGAAUCUAAUAAUUUUUAUAAUGGCAGCCAUUCACCCUAUCCUGUGUAUUGUAGUACUCCUGUUAACAGUCAAACUUCAUUUUCUACCAUGUCGUCAUCACCUCAAUCUAAUCACUUCCUGUCAGCCAUGUUGCUAUCUAGAAACACACGUGAUUUGAUGACGUCGGGUUACUAAACUGUGGUUGCGCUAAUAACGCCAGUGUAACUUUGGUUGUCACGUGUUAAUGACACCUGUUUAAUAUUGGUUGUUUUGUAUUAAUGGUGCCAGUGUAACAUUGGUUUUUCUUGUUAAUGCCGCCAGGCUAACUUUGGUUGUUUCGUGUUAAUGGCUGUGGUUGUUUCGUGUUAAUGGCGCCAGUAUAGUUAAUAGUGGUUGUUUCGUGUUAAUGGCGCCAGUAUAGUUACAUGUGGUUAUUUUGUGUAUAACGCCAGUGUAACUUCAGUUGUUUCGUAUUAAUGACGCCAGGUUAACUUUGGUCGUUUCCUGUGAAUGACGCCAAUGUAUUUUACUGUGGUUUAUUCGUUUUAAUGAUGCCAAUAUAUUCAAAUGUGGUUUAUUCGAGUAAUACACAGUUUCAUAUAGUUAUGUCGGUAUUUUAACCUAAGCUAACCUUGACCCUAACCAGUUAACAUAUGCAUGUGCUUAACAUUCCUUACUACAAUAUUACGAAAAACCCAUCUCAUCAACGUGACGCAUACACCACUCCUUUAAAUCCCUUACUACAAUAUUACGAAAGUCCCAUCUCAUCAUCGUAACACAUAGACCACUCCUUUACAUCCCUUACAACAAUAUUACGAAAGCCCCAUCUCAUCAACGUGACGCAUACGCUAUUCUUUUACAUUCCUUACAAACUAAAAUAUUAUAAAAGUCCCAUCUCAUUAACGUGA